AACGUACGCUGGCGGCACGCCUAACACAUGCAAGUCGAACGAAGUAGCAAUACUUAGUGGCAGACGGGUGAGUAACAUGUAGGUAUCUGCCCUUUGGCCUGGAAUAACACGAGGAAACUUGUGCUAAUACCGGAUAAGUCUUUACGGAGAAAGCUUUAUGCACCAUUGGAUGAGCCUGCACUUGAUUAGUUUGUUGGUGGGGUAAUGGCCUACCAAGACUGUGAUCAAUAGCUGAUUUGAGAGGAUGAUCAGCCACAUUGGGACUGAGACACGGCCCAAACUCCUACGGGAGGCAGCAGUGGGGAAUCUUGCACAAUGGAGGAAACUCUGAUGCAGCGAUGCCGCGUGAGUGAAGAAGGCCUUUGGGUUGUAAAGCUCUUUCGUCGGGGAAGAAAAUGACUGUACCCGAAUAAGAAGGUCCGGCUAACUUCGUGCCAGCAGCCGCGGUAAUACGAAGGGACCUAGCGUAGUUCGGAAUUACUGGGCUUAAAGAGUUCGUAGGUGGUUGAAAAGGUUAGUGGUGAAAUCCCAGAGCUUAACUCUGGAACUGCCAUUAAAACUUUUCAGCUAGAGUAUGAUAGAGGAAAGCAGAAUUUCUAGUGUAGAGGUGAAAUUCGUAGAUAUUAGAAAGAAUACCAAUUGCGAAGGCAGCUUUCUGGAUCAUUACUGACACUGAGGAACGAAAGCAUGGGUAGCGAAGAGGAUUAGAUACCCUCGUAGUCCAUGCCGUAAACGAUGUGUGUUAGACGUUGGAAAUUUAUUUUCAGUGUCGCAGGGAAACCGAUAAACACACCGCCUGGGGAGUACGACCGCAAGGUUAAAACUCAAAUGAAUUGACGGGGACCCGCACAAGUAGUGGAGCAUGUGGUUUAAUUCGAAGAUACGCGCAGAACCUUACCAACACUUGACAUGUUCGUCGCGACUCUAAGAGAUUAGAGUUUUCGGUUCGGCCGGACGAAACACAGGUGCUGCAUGGCUGUCGUCAGCUCGUGUCGUGAGAUGUUGGGUUAAGUCCCGCAACGAGCGCAACCCUCACUUUUAGUUGCCAUCAUUAAGUUGGGCACUCUGAAAGAACUGCCAGUGAUAAGCUGGAGGAAGGUGGGGAUGACGUCAAGUCCUCAUGGCCCUUACGUGUUGGGCUACACACGUGCUACAAUGGUAUCUACAACAGGAAGCAAGACUGCGAAGUUAAGCAAAUCCCUAAAAGAUACCUCAGUUCGGAUUGCACUCUGCAACUCGAGUGCAUGAAGCUGGAAUUACUAGUAAUCGUGGAUCAGCGUGCCACGGUGAAUGCGUUCCCGGGUCU
RNAcentral lists this ribosomal RNA (1306 nucleotides) under uncultured bacterium. RNAcentral describes it as "bacterial SSU rRNA". It matches the Rfam family "Bacterial small subunit ribosomal RNA", at positions 28 to 1381 of the family's 1533-position model. The record is from RNAcentral.